AUUGAACGCUGGCGGCAGGCCUAACACAUGCAAGUCGAACGGUAACAGGAAGCAGCUUGCUGCUUUUCUGACGAGUGGCGGACGGGUGAGUAAUGUCUGGGAAACUGCCCGCUUGAGGGGGAUAUCUACUGGAAACGGUAGCUAAUACCUCAUAACGUCGCCAGCCCAAAGAGGGGGACCUUAGGGCCUCUUGCCAUCGGAUGUGCCCAGGUGGGAUUAGCUAGUAGGUGGGGUAACGUCUCACCUAGGCGACGAUGCCUACCUGGUGUGAGAGGAUGGCAGGCGACACGGGAGCGGGAACACGGUCAAGACGCCUGAGGGAGGCAGCAGUGGGGAAUAUUGCACAAUGGGCGGAAGCCUGAUGCAGCCGGGCCGCGUGUAUGAAGAAGGCCUUCGGGUUGUAAAGUACUUUCAGCGGGGAGGAAGGGAGUAAAGUUGAUACCUAGGCUCAUUGACGUUACCGGCAGAAGAAGCACCGGCUAACUCCGUG
This 490-nucleotide ribosomal RNA is filed under the name uncultured bacterium. RNAcentral's name for it is "partial 16S ribosomal RNA". It matches the Rfam family "Bacterial small subunit ribosomal RNA", at positions 29 to 507 of the family's 1533-position model. The record is from RNAcentral.